RNAcentral lists this non-coding RNA (75 nucleotides) under Cellulosilyticum lentocellum. RNAcentral's name for it is "Clostridium lentocellum Fluoride sequence". It matches the Rfam family "Fluoride riboswitch aptamer (crcB RNA motif)". RNAcentral also lists the same sequence under 1 other name. Lineage: Bacteria; Bacillati; Bacillota; Clostridia; Lachnospirales; Cellulosilyticaceae. The record is from RNAcentral.
AUAAAUAAGGGGAAUGAAGUACUCCCUAAGUUUGAUACUUAAACCGCUUAUAAAGCUGAUGACUUCUGUGAAACA